This 406-nucleotide ribosomal RNA is filed under the name uncultured bacterium. RNAcentral describes it as "partial 16S ribosomal RNA". It matches the Rfam family "Bacterial small subunit ribosomal RNA", at positions 29 to 526 of the family's 1533-position model. The record is from RNAcentral.
AUUGAACGCUGGCGGCAGGCCUAACACAUGCAAGUCGAACGAGUGGCGGACGGGUGAGUAAUGUCUGGGAAACUGCCUGAUGGAGGGGGAUAACUACUUGAAACGGUAGCUAAUACCGCAUACCAUCAGAUGUGCCCAGAUGGGAUUAGCUGGUUGGUGGGGUAACGGCUCACCAAGGCGACGAUCCCUAGCUGGUCUGAGAGGAUGACCAGCAAAACUGGAACGGAGACACGGGCCAGACUCCUACGGGAGGCAGCAGUGGGGAACAUUGCACAAUGGGCGCAAGCCUGAUGCAGCCAGGCCGCGGGGAUGAAGAAGGCCUGCGGGUUGUAAAGUACGUUCAGCGGGGAGGCGUUACCCGCAGAAGAAGCACCGGCUAACUCCGUGCCAGCCGCCGCGGUAAUAC